UCUUGGCCAGCCUUCUGAAAGGAAGAUUAAUACAAGAUGGCAUCAUGAGUCCGCAUGUUCACAUGAUUAAAGGUAUUCCGGUAGACGAUGGGGAUGCGUUCCAUUAGAUAGUAGGCGGGGUAACGGCCCACCUAGUCUUCGAUGGAUAGGGGUUCUGAGAGGAAGGUCCCCCACAUUGGAACUGAGACACGGUCCAAACUCCUACGGGAGGCAGCAGUGAGGAAUAUUGGUCAAUGGGCGAGAGCCUGAACCAGCCAAGUAGCGUGAAGGAUGACUGCCCUAUGGGUUGUAAACUUCUUUUAUAAAGGAAUAAAGUCGGGUAUGGAUACCCGUUUGCAUGUACUUUAUGAAUAAGGAUCGGCUAACUCCGUGCCAGCAGCCGCGGUAAUACGGAGGAUCCGAGCGUUAUCCGGAUUUAUUGGGUUUAAAGGGAGCGUAGAUGGAUGUUUAAGUCAGUUGUGAAAGUUUGCGGCUCAACCGUAAAAUUGCAGUUGAUACUGGAUAUCUUGAGUGCAGUUGAGGCAGGCGGAAUUCGUGGUGUAGCGGUGAAAUGCUUAGAUAUCACGAAGAACUCCAAUUGCGAAGGCAGCCUGCUAAGCUGCAACUGACAUUGAGGCUCGAAAGUGUGGGUAUCAAACAGGAUUAGAUACCCUGGUAGUCCACACGGUAAACGAUGAAUACUCGCUGUUUGCGAUAUACUGCAAGCGGCCAAGCGAAAGCGUUAAGUAUUCCACCUGGGGAGUACGCCGGCAACGGUGAAACUCAAAGGAAUUGACGGGGGCCCGCACAAGCGGAGGAACAUGUGGUUUAAUUCGAUGAUACGCGAGGAGCCUUACCCGGGCUUAAAUUGCAGAUGAAUUACGGUGAAAGCCGUAAGCCGCAAGGCAUCUGUGAAGGUGCUGCAUGGUUGUCGUCAGCUCGUGCCGUGAGGUGUCGGCUUAAGUGCCAUAACGAGCGCAACCCUUGUUGUCAGUUACUAACAGGUUCUGCUGAGGACUCUGACAAGACUGCCAUCGUAAGAUGUGAGGAAGGUGGGGAUGACGUCAAAUCAGCACGGCCCUUACGUCCGGGGCUACACACGUGUUACAAUGGGGGGGUACAGAGGG
This 1106-nucleotide ribosomal RNA is filed under the name uncultured Bacteroides sp. RNAcentral describes it as "bacterial SSU rRNA". It matches the Rfam family "Bacterial small subunit ribosomal RNA", at positions 137 to 1246 of the family's 1533-position model. Lineage: Bacteria; Pseudomonadati; Bacteroidota; Bacteroidia; Bacteroidales; Bacteroidaceae. The record is from RNAcentral.